AGACGGAAAGUCCUCAGGACGGAAAGACCUCAGGUCGGAAGGUCUUCAGGUCGGGAGGUCCUCAAGACGGAAAGUCCUCAGGACGGAAAGACCUCAGGUCGGAAGGUCUUCAGGUCGGGAGGUCCUCAAGACGGAAAGUCCUCAGGACGGAAAGACCUCAGGUCGGAAGGUCUUCAGGUCGGGAGGUCCUCAAGACGGAAAGUCCUCAGGACGGAAAGACCUCAGGUCGGAAGGUCUUCAGGUCGGGAGGUCCUCAAGACGGAAAGUCCUCAGGACGGAAAGACCUCAGGUCGGAAGGUCUUCAGGUCGGGAGGUCCUCAAGACGGAAAGUCCUCAGGACGGAAAGACCUCAGGUCGGAAGGUCUUCAGGUCGGGAGGUCCUCAAGACGGAAAGUCAUCAGGACGGGAAGUCCGCAGGUCGGGAGGCCCUCAGGACGGGAAGUCCGCAGGUCGGGAGGCCCUCAGGUCGGAAAGUCCGCAGGUCGAAAAGUCUUCAGGGCGGAAAGUCCUCAGGUUGGAUAGGUCGGGAAGUUCUCAGGUCGGAACUCUGCGGCAGGACCAACAAAUCGGAUGGUUUGUUAGUCGGGAUGUCUGUAGCUAAUCCAAACAAGUCAGAUGGUUUGCAAGUCGGGAGGAUUGGCAGUCGGACCAAUACGGUUGUAGAUUGGCAGUCGGGCCAAAAGGGCGGAAGGUCUGUGGUCGG
This is a long non-coding RNA of Andrographis paniculata, 703 nucleotides long. RefSeq lists it as uncharacterized. Lineage: Eukaryota; Viridiplantae; Streptophyta; Magnoliopsida; Lamiales; Acanthaceae. The record is from RefSeq and is a predicted model, not a curated record. The transcript has 4 exons.